UAUAACCGUUUGGUAUAGCAACCUGGCGGUUGUCAAACCUGGCUGUAUGCUGGAACCUCCGAGUAUCCGGCGGUACUCGAUUCGUGUCGGUAGCGAGAGAUACGUUGCUGGCAUGAUCAGUGAAAAUCCGACCGGUGCGGACGAUCAGCAGGAAACCCACGGCCGGUCUCUCGAUCCCAAUUGGGUGUGCGGCUUCGUUGAUGGAGAAGGAUGCUUUUCCGUCUCGGUGCAUCGCAACCCGGGUGCGAAGAGGACUCACGGAUGGCAGCUGCAGGCUGCCUUCCAGGUCUAUCAGCAUCAGCGCGAUCGGGAGAUUCUCGAGCGUAUCCGGCGCACCUUCGAGUGUGGAGCGAUCCACCCCAAGGGUGCGCAGAGCUCGGUCUUGACCUUCACGGUGUGGAGCAUGAGAGACCUCGAGUGGCGGGUCAUCCCGUUCUUCGAGGAGCACCGGCUCCAGGUGAAGCAACGUGACUUUGAGCUGUUUGCGCAGAUCGUGAGAGCGAUGCGGCGCAAGGAGCACCUCGAGCGCGAUGGCUUCGAGCGGCUGGCUCGAUUGGCCUACUGCAUGAACGCAGUGGGCAAGCAGCGAGCCCGAACCAUCGAUGAGGUCCUGACGGGAUCCUCAGAGACUGUACGCCAGGCACCCCCAAGGGGGGUGAUGAGACAGUCCGACCCCCAUGGCGACAUGGGGAGUCAGGCAGAAAUGACCUGACCACCCAACCACCCAUGCGCGGUGGAUGGGGAGCAACAAGAGUGCCUAAGGUAGCGAAAUUCCUUGUCGGGUAAGUUCCGACCUGCACGAAUGGCGUAACGAUUUGGGCGCUGUCUCGACCACGGACUCGGCGAAAUUGCAGUGUGAGUAAAGAUGCUCACUUCCUGCGACAGGACGGAAAGACCCCGGGACCUUUACUACAGCUUGGCAUUGGAGUCUGGUGUGGCAUGUGUAGGAUAGGUGGGAGACUUGGAAGCAGCGGCGCAAGCCGUUGUGGAGUCAACGUUGAAAUACCACCCUUGGCAUAUCGGGCUUCUAACCUCGGUCCGUUAUCCGGAUCAGGGACGUUGCCUGGCGGGUAGUUUCACUGGGGUGGUGGCCUCCCAAACUGUAACGGAGGCGCCCAAAGGUUCCCUCAGUCUGGUUGGCAAUCAGACGGCGAGUGUAAGGGCACAAGGGAGCUUGACUGCAAGACCUACGAGUCGAGCAGAUGCGAAAGCAGGGCCUAGUGAUCCUACGGCGGCAUGUGGAAGCGCCGUGGCUCAUCGGCUAAAAGGUACCCCGGGGAUAACAGGCUAAUCUUGCCCAAGAGUCCAUAUCGACGGCAAGGGUUGGCACCUCGAUGUCGGCCCGUCGCAUCCUGGGGCUGGAGCAGGUCCCAAGGGUCGGGCUGUUCGCCCGUUAAAGCGGUACGCGAGCUGGGUUUAGAACGUCGUGAGACAGUUCGGUCCCUAUCCGUCGCAGGCGCAGGAGGUCUGAGGAGGCCUAUCCCUAGUACGAGAGGACCGGGAUGGACGUACCUCUGGUGUGCCAGUUGUCCUGCCAAGGGCAUCGCUGGUUGGCUAUGUACGGAACGGGUAAGCGCUGAAGGCAUCUAAGUGCGAAACCGGCUCCAAGAUGAGACCUCCCACCGUUCGCGGGUAAGGCCCCUGGUAGAACACCAGGUUGAUAGGCCGGACGUGGAAGCGCAGCAAUGCGUUGAGCUGACCGGUACUAAUCGGCCGAGGGCUUGAAGAA
Actinobacteria bacterium RBG_16_70_17 is the source of this 1729-nucleotide non-coding RNA. The record is from Rfam. Lineage: Bacteria; Bacillati; Actinomycetota.